This is a long non-coding RNA of Aricia agestis (brown argus), 434 nucleotides long. RefSeq lists it as uncharacterized. NCBI's taxonomy places the organism in Eukaryota, Metazoa, Arthropoda, Insecta, Lepidoptera, Lycaenidae. The transcript has 2 exons. The record is from RefSeq and is a predicted model, not a curated record.
UGUAUUAUAUUUACCGAUAAACACCUAUUGGAGCCGAGAUCCUACUAUUCGAUAUUCGUCUAUGGAUCCUACUCUGUUCAUGUACCUUUUUCUUUUAUUUAGUUUUUUUCAAAGGUUUUUUUUUCAACCAAAAACAAUUACGUCAAUACACCAUUCAAAAUCAUGUCAAACGAUAAUAAAAUGUCGUCAAAGAGACUCGCUAAUUUUCUGCUCAAACCGAACAAACUUAGUAUAAUUCCAAAACGGUAUUGGACCCAAGUUGGACUGGUCGUGUGUGUGCCUCCGAGACAUCGCACUUCGUAUCUGACAACUAUACUACACAUGGGGUUCAUGUAUGUGGUCUGGUUGACUCCUAUAGCAUACUGUCUCACACAAGUCAAGGUCUGGAGGAAAAUGUACGUUGAAUGAGAUGAAAUAAACAUUUUGAUAUUUUA